CUCUCUCUAAAUUACAAAAUUAAUAUAAUAAUAAAGAUAUCUUGUUUAUUAAUUUAAUUUAAUUAUCUACCGGGAGAUAAUUAUAUUAUAGUCACAUUAAAUUAAUAACUUUAAAUAAUUAAAUUAAAAACGAGAUUUUGCUUACUUAACAAAAUAGAGGGUGUUACAACAACCAUCUUCUGGAUAAUCUUCUUAAUGUUCU
RNAcentral lists this long non-coding RNA (202 nucleotides) under Lathyrus oleraceus (garden pea). Its description in RNAcentral is "Pisum sativum (pea) long non-coding RNA (PSAT_LNC006823)". Lineage: Eukaryota; Viridiplantae; Streptophyta; Magnoliopsida; Fabales; Fabaceae. The record is from RNAcentral.